Pseudoalteromonas porphyrae is the source of this 28-nucleotide non-coding RNA. The record is from Rfam. Lineage: Bacteria; Pseudomonadati; Pseudomonadota; Gammaproteobacteria; Alteromonadales; Pseudoalteromonadaceae.
GUUCACUGCCACGCAGGCAGCUUAGAAA